UACAGAGGGUGCGAGCGUUGUCCGGAAUCACUGGGCGUAAAGGGCGCGUAGGCGGUCGUGACAAGUCACUUGUGAAAUCUCCGGGCUUAACUCGGAACGGUCAAGUGAUACUGUCGGACUAGAGUACAGAAGGGGCAACUGGAAUUCUCGGUGUAGCGGUGAAAUGCGUAGAUAUCGAGAGGAACACCUGCGGCGAAGGCGGGUUGCUGGGCCGACACUGACGCUGAUGCGCGAAAGCCAGGGGAGCGAACGGG
This 254-nucleotide ribosomal RNA is filed under the name uncultured bacterium. RNAcentral's name for it is "partial 16S ribosomal RNA". It matches the Rfam family "Bacterial small subunit ribosomal RNA", at positions 524 to 776 of the family's 1533-position model. The record is from RNAcentral.